GGCCCAAUAGUAUAGUAGUAUUAUACUCCCUUCGGGUAGAUCAAUCUACUUCCUCAGGGGAGCCCUGAAAUGGGAGAGGUCCCGGGUUCAAUUCCCGGUUGGGCCC
Molecule: transfer RNA, 106 nt
Filed under: Malassezia globosa
Lineage: Eukaryota; Fungi; Basidiomycota; Malasseziomycetes; Malasseziales; Malasseziaceae
Also listed under: 1 other name
Description: tRNA-Pro
Rfam family: tRNA
About the family: Transfer RNA (tRNA) molecules are approximately 80 nucleotides in length. Their secondary structure includes four short double-helical elements and three loops (D, anti-codon, and T loops).
Source: RNAcentral